This 532-nucleotide long non-coding RNA is filed under the name Apteryx owenii (little spotted kiwi). Its description in RNAcentral is "lncRNA (ENSAOWG00000007890.1)". The record is from RNAcentral. Lineage: Eukaryota; Metazoa; Chordata; Aves; Apterygiformes; Apterygidae.
CCUUUAUGUUGGUAAUUUCAUUUAAAUAGAAAUGCUUUUAUCCUUGGGUAGCUUGUAGACCACUAUAUUCUCUAGGACACAAGGCCAGAAUUCUAGCCUAAUUUAUCUUCUCUUUGGAAAGGCAUAGAAUUUGUUUCUGAGUGCUAUUUUGAUGGAAAGGUUCAGUAAAUGAGAAUACAUUUGCUGUAUUCAUAACCUGGAGACACUAAGGAUUGAGCAUAUAUAUCUCUUCCAGCUGGAGGCAUCCAAAUAGUUAUACUGAAUAAUAAUUCAUUCUGUUCUUAAAAAUUAUUCCUGCCUAUUCUCCAUCUUGUCACAGAAAAAGAAGGGGGAGGAGAGAAUAAGACAGGAGAAGAUAAUUAAGAAGGACAGAAGAGACAGAAAAGAAGCAGACUUGUUAAACCAAUCUUUUCCUGCAACUCUCAUAAGUUUGUGGCCAUGAUGACUAGAGAAUCCUUUAAGCUCAACCAGUAGUGACUUUCAGAAGAAAUGUAUUGUAAACAUCUUUGCCUGUAAGGUCUAUAAUUUCUUA